RNAcentral lists this ribosomal RNA (471 nucleotides) under uncultured bacterium. RNAcentral's name for it is "bacterial SSU rRNA". It matches the Rfam family "Bacterial small subunit ribosomal RNA", at positions 28 to 492 of the family's 1533-position model. The record is from RNAcentral.
GAUGAACGCUAGCGGGAGGCUUAAUACAUGCAAGUCGAGCGGCAAGUUUUGAUAGCAAUAUUGGAACCUAGAGCGGCGCACGGGUGAGUAACGCGUACAUGACCUGCCCUAUACUGGGGGAUAGUCUUGGGAAACUGAGAAUAAUCCCGCAUGUGAUUAGAAUGCUGCAUGGCAAAUUAAUUAAAGCUGAGGCGGUAUAGGAUGGGUGUGCGUCUGAUUAGCUAGUUGGUAGUGUAACGGACUACCAAGGCGAUGAUCAGUAGGGGGCGUGAGAGCGUGACCCCCCACACGGGUACUGAGACACGGACCCGACUCCUACGGGAGGCAGCAGUAAGGAAUAUUGGUCAAUGGAGGAAACUCUGAACCAGCUAUCUCGCGUGAAGGAUGAAGGGGCUCUGCCUUGUAAACUUCUUUUGUCUGGGGCGAAAAAACUUAAUUUAUUAAGGACUGACGGUACCAUGAGAAUAAGCA